This 378-nucleotide ribosomal RNA is filed under the name Pireneitega taishanensis. Its description in RNAcentral is "partial large subunit ribosomal RNA". The record is from RNAcentral. Lineage: Eukaryota; Metazoa; Arthropoda; Arachnida; Araneae; Agelenidae.
UCAAUGAAAUUUUAAUAGCCGCAAUAUUCUUGUGCUAAGGUAGCAUAAUCAUUUGUCUUUUAAUUAAAGACUAGAACAAAAGAUUCAACAUUUUCAUUUCUUUCUCAAUUUUAUAUAUUAAAUUUAUACUAAAUAUAAAAAUAUAUUUAUUAUAUAAAAAGACGACAAGACCCUAUUGAACUUAACUAAAGUUUAACUGGGGCAGUUAAUUAAAUAUAAUUUUAAUUCUAUACUUAUAAAUACCUAAUAUAAUUAAAUAAAUCAAGUUACCAUAGGGAUAACAGCGUAAUAAUUUUCUAUAGAUCUUAUUCAAAAAAUAUUUUGCGACCUCGAUGUUUAAUUAAUAAUCUAUUAAAUGCAAUAAUUAAUAAGAAAGUC